This is a long non-coding RNA of Triticum aestivum (bread wheat), 2703 nucleotides long. RefSeq lists it as uncharacterized. The transcript is spliced from 5 exons. NCBI's taxonomy places the organism in Eukaryota, Viridiplantae, Streptophyta, Magnoliopsida, Poales, Poaceae. The record is from RefSeq and is a predicted model, not a curated record.
CCUACAGCAAUUAUCUUCUCUGCUUUUCCUCGACCUCGAAAGACGAAGCAAUCGAGGGCGCAGUUACUCGUCACCGUCGUUGAUUCAUCCCCAACCGAGGCGCCCCACUACUCUGCAUCUUCGAUUCUUCAUCUCCCUUACUUCUACUUAAUCCUUUCCCAAUUCCCAGUCACUUCUACCCGUCGCCGUCCAGCUUUGCCGCCGCCUAGGGGCAGCUCGCUCGCCGCCCGCUAGGGCUGCUCCCUCGACGCCCCUCCUUCCUCCGGCUAGAGCCUCUCCCAGGCUGCCCUUCCUUCCCGCCGACUAGAUCUGCUCGCUGGCCGCCCUUCCUUGACGCCGGGUAGGGCUCUUCACUACUCCUCCAGCGACCAUGGCCGGCAGAGGUCAAAGAGUCAAAGCUCAAAAAUCACGUGGAGUGGAGAAGCAGAGCAACGUUAGUUCAAGGGAAGAGGUUGUUGGAAUGGCGUCCCCUAACACCGGCUCGUCACCAUCACCCGCAGAAGAGAGGUCAGCUGUGAAUAUGUCCGCAAUACAACAAGCUGAUGCUACUGAAAGUGAGGUAGUGAAUGCUGGUACACAAUCUGGUUCUAAGAGAAAACGUAGAUCUGUGGUUUGGAAUGAUUUUGAGGAAGUAAUUGUUGAUGGGAAAUUGAAAGCUGAAUGUGUGUUCUGUCACAAGAAACUUAGUGGGGAACAGUCUCAUGGGACCUCACAUUUAAGGUCUCAUUUGGAAACAUGUGAUGCUAAGAAAUCCAAAGAUUCAAAACAACAAAAAUUGAGGUUGACAAAAGGUGAUGCUGGGAAAGUCAAUUUAGAAAACUAUGUAUUCGACCAAGAUGUUGCUAGGAAAGAACUUGCUAUCAUGAUAUGUGUGCAUGAGUACCCUCUGUCCAUUGUUGAUCAUGCUGGUUUCAGAUCUUUUUGUGCAUCUUUACAACCUAUGUUCAAGAUGGUCAGUAGAAAUACAAUUAAGAAUGAUAUAAUUGGUCUCCAUCAAACACAAAAGAACGCCAUGAUCCAGUAUUUCGCAAAAUUCAACCAUCGAGUGGCUGUGACUAGUGACUUGUGGACUGCUGGACAUCAAAAGAAAGGCUAUAUGGUUGUUACUGCACAUUUCAUUGAUGAAGACUAGGAAUUAAAGAGUUUUCUCUUAAGGUUCAUGUAUGUGCCAUGCCCUCAUAACCCUGAAGUUAUAUGCGAAGCACUACAUCAAGUCCUCGUCGAGUGGCAUCUUGAGAGGAAGAUAUCUACAGUGACUCUUGACAAUUGUGCGGCAAAUGAUAAAGCUAUUUGGAAUAUGGAAGAUAAGUUGGAUUCUAACUCUCUUAUGUUGCAAGGCAAGCUAAUCCAUAUGCGUUGUUGUGCACAUAUAUUAAAUUUGAUUGUUCAAGAUGGAAUGAGUGUCUUGAAAGAAGGUAUAGAGAGGGUCCGUGAUAGUUUUGCUUAUUGGUCAGCCACACCAAAGAGGCAUGAAAGGUUUGAAAAGAUGGCACGGACUCUGAACAUUCCAUACACUAGAAAGAUUGGACUUGAUUGUAAAACACGAUGGAACUCAACUUAUCUCAUGCUUAGCACUACAUUGCAAUAUCAAGAAUUUUUUUAUCGUCUAAGUUGACAAGUUAAACAGUUUGAGUGUUGUCCAACAAUAGAAGAUUGGAAUUUUGCGAAGGAGGUUUGUGAUAAGCUAAAGAUCCUUUAUGGUAUCACAGAGUUAUUGUCGGGCACUAAAUACGUGACAUCUAAUAUUUUCUUUCCAAAGAUAUGAUGUAUUCGUUUGGCAAUAAGGAAAUGGUCAGCUAGUAAUAAUGAAUUGAUGCAAAAGAUGUCCGAAGAAAUGAAGGAAAAGUUCGAUAAGUAUUGGCUUGAUGUGCAUGGUCUUAUGGCCAUGGCCACUAUUCUUGAUCCUAGGUAUAAAACUCACAUGCUGCAUGCUUUAUUUGGAUCUCUUUAUGGAUAUGAACAUGUUGCCAAUAAAGUUGAUGAGAUAAAAAACUUAUGGUUGAAUUGUUGCUUGAAUACCAAGAAUCCGACGAGCCUGCUGCUUCUGUCCAAGUUGCUAUCCAAGCUGACAAAGAUCAGGACGAUGAAGCGGGCAUAUUACUUGAUCAAUAUAUGAUGCAGCAGCCCAUUGUUUCUUCUCAGCUACACACAGAAUUGGACUUGUACUUGGAGGAGCCUGCUCUCCCUAGAACACAAGAGGUUGACAUCAUUACUUGGUGGAAGGUUGGAGGUAUGAAGUAUCCCACCUUGCAAAGGAUUGCUCAUGAUAUAUUACCCAUUCCAGUCACAACCGUGGCAUCCGAAUCUGCAUUUAGUACCAGCGGCAGAAUACUUAGUGCACAUCGAAGUCUCCUUGCACCCAAAACCGCUGAAGCUCUUAUGUGCAUGCAAGCAUGGAGUCGUGCUAAUAUGUUUGAUAAUGUCACAUCCGACCACUUUGCGAUUCAAUCUGUUCUUGAAGAUGAACAAGAAGCUAUGGAGGAAUGUGUACACCAUUGAAGACUAAAAUGAGCAAGUGGCGUGCAGGAGGGACGUGCUGUUAGCAUUGAAGCAUGGGCGCACAUUGUUGUUAUUCAUGCCAUGUUGUUUGGCUCAUUGGUUGAUUGUUCUUAGCAUUGCAAGUUCGCAAAUUAUUAUUUUUCUUAAUGUUAGUUUGUAAUGGAGAAUAAGACCUUUAAUUGUGUGUCAAAUGUCAUUGUGAAC